AAGAAGAACGUAAUGACGCCAGCUGGUACCAAUUUCAAAAUGACAAAUAUUGACGACAUAAAGGCUGAAAGAGGACAGUUUGGAUGUUCAUCGUGUUAAUGUCUGCGAGCCAAAUAAGCAUUCAUCUUCCUUUACUGGAGCGGCGAGGGCCACUUUGCUCAUCUGACGUCAUAUGUCCACAGCCAGGUCGCAGGAGAGCUGGUGACGUCAUUUGGUCAGGAUGAAGGAUCUUUUGGGGGUAAAAGGGCCAAAGAAGAACCUCCUGCUCUCCAGCUGCUCACCAGCCAGGCCACUGGAACGCUGAUUUGGCCCCGCGGAGCCCCUACAACUGAAGAGCAGCCAGAUAACUUUAUCUCCUGACCAACCGGCGCCCGCAUCCCCAAGGUAGGCCUUUCGAACGCGCUUUUAUUCCGCGCCAACCAAUAGGAGCGUCGACGCCAUCCGCCGCCCUAAUGGAAGCAACCUGUGCUUUGUGGAGUGCGUUGAGGUAACGCACAGCUGCUCUGCUCGCUUUAAAGGGGAACCGCACUUUUUUUGGAAUGUUGAGUUUGAGUUUAUUUCGAACUUGCGUGCAU
This is a long non-coding RNA of Entelurus aequoreus (snake pipefish), 575 nucleotides long. RefSeq lists it as uncharacterized. The record is from RefSeq and is a predicted model, not a curated record. Lineage: Eukaryota; Metazoa; Chordata; Actinopteri; Syngnathiformes; Syngnathidae. The transcript has 3 exons.